UACGUAGGGGGCAAGCGUUGUCCGGAUUUAUUGGGCGUAAAGAGCGUGUAGGCGGUUUGGUAGGUCCGCUGUGAAAACUCGAGGCUCAACCUCGAGACGCCGGUGGAAACCAUCAGACUAGAGUCCGGAAGAGGCGAGUGGAAUUCCUGGUGUAGCGGUGAAAUGCGCAGAUAUCAGGAGGAACACCAAUUGCGAAGGCAGCUCGCUGGGACGUAACUGACGCUGAGACGCGAAAGCGUGGGGAGCAAACAGG
This 253-nucleotide ribosomal RNA is filed under the name uncultured bacterium. RNAcentral describes it as "partial 16S ribosomal RNA". It matches the Rfam family "Bacterial small subunit ribosomal RNA", at positions 524 to 776 of the family's 1533-position model. The record is from RNAcentral.